RNAcentral lists this ribosomal RNA (433 nucleotides) under uncultured bacterium. Its description in RNAcentral is "partial 16S ribosomal RNA". It matches the Rfam family "Bacterial small subunit ribosomal RNA", at positions 29 to 507 of the family's 1533-position model. The record is from RNAcentral.
AACGAACGCUGGCGGCAUGCCUAACACAUGCAAGUCGAACGAGACCUUCGGGUCUAGUGGCGCACGGGUGCGUAACCCGUGGGAACCUGCCCUUAGGUUCGGAAUAACUCCCCGAAAGGGGUCCUAAUACCGGCUAAUGUCUUCGGACCAAAGAUUUAUCGCCUUUGGAUGGGCCCGCGUUGUAUUAGCUAGUUGGUAGGGUAAAAGCCUACCAAGGCGACGAUCCAUAGCUGGUCUGAGAGGCUGAUCAGCGACACUGGGACUGAGACACGGCCCAGACUCCUACGGGAGGCAGCAGUGGGGAAUAUUGGACAAUGGGCGAAAGCCUGAUCCAGCAAUGCCGCGUGAGUGAUGAAGGCCUUAGGGUUGUAAAGCUCUUUUACCCGGGAUGAUAAUGACAGUACCGGGAGAAUAAGCUCCGGCUAACUCCGUG